CCUGAAAUGAGCCUUGAUGGUUUCCGAAAGACAAAUGCGCUUUCGGAAUGAAAAGGGAAUACGGUGAGGAAUAGCCAACAGGCGCCAAAACCGUGACUGCCCCCGCAACUGUGAGCGGCGAGCGACCCCGAUGAACACCACUGAACGCCCAGCGUUCGGGAAGGUUCGGGCAAGCGACAACCCGCAAGUCAGGAGACCUGCCAUCAAAAGUGUAACUUC
RNAcentral lists this non-coding RNA (219 nucleotides) under Aliiroseovarius crassostreae. The record is from RNAcentral. Lineage: Bacteria; Pseudomonadati; Pseudomonadota; Alphaproteobacteria; Rhodobacterales; Paracoccaceae.